UACGUAGGUUGCGAGCGUUGUCCGGAUUUACUGGGCGUAAAGAGCGCGCAGGCGGUCGUUCAAGUCGCGUGUGAAAGCCCCCGGCUCAACUGGGGAGGGUCACGCGAUACUGAUCGACUCGAAGGCAGGAGAGGGUAGUGGAAUUCCCGGUGUAGUGGUGAAAUGCGUAGAUAUCGGGAGGAACACCAGUGGCGAAGGCGACUACCUGGCCUGUUCUUGACGCUGAGGCGCGAAAGCUAGGGGAGCAAACGGG
Molecule: ribosomal RNA, 253 nt
Filed under: uncultured bacterium
Lineage: Bacteria
Description: partial 16S ribosomal RNA
Rfam family: Bacterial small subunit ribosomal RNA
Source: RNAcentral